Molecule: transfer RNA, 72 nt
Filed under: Dipodomys ordii (Ord's kangaroo rat)
Lineage: Eukaryota; Metazoa; Chordata; Mammalia; Rodentia; Heteromyidae
Rfam family: tRNA
About the family: Transfer RNA (tRNA) molecules are approximately 80 nucleotides in length. Their secondary structure includes four short double-helical elements and three loops (D, anti-codon, and T loops).
Source: Rfam by way of RNAcentral
GGGAAGUUGGCUCAAUGGUAGAGUGUUUGCCUCACAUGCAAGAGGCCAUGGGUUCGAUUCCUCAGCAUCACA